Molecule: unclassified non-coding RNA, 178 nt
Filed under: Glomeromycotina sp.
Lineage: Eukaryota; Fungi; Glomeromycota
Description: partial contains small subunit ribosomal RNA, internal transcribed spacer 1, and 5.8S ribosomal RNA
Rfam family: Eukaryotic small subunit ribosomal RNA (bases 1-47)
Source: RNAcentral
AAAGUCGUAACAAGGUUUCCGUAGGUGAACCUGCGGAAGGAUCAUUAGUAGAUUCUUUCUUUUUUUGGAAGAUGUUCCAUGUGCACUGUUUCUUAGAAGCCGUUAUUUUUGACUUUUUUUUUGACUCUAUGAGUUGCAAUAAAAAAAAAAACUUUCAACAACGGAUCUCUUGGCUCUC